UGGUCAAAAGAAAAUUUGAAAUUGAAAAACUAAUUGAAAAAAAAAUGAAACAAAACAAAACAAAAAU
This 67-nucleotide ribosomal RNA is filed under the name Pyramimonas parkeae. Its description in RNAcentral is "partial Trypanosomatid mitochondrial large subunit ribosomal RNA". The record is from RNAcentral. Lineage: Eukaryota; Viridiplantae; Chlorophyta; Pyramimonadophyceae; Pyramimonadales; Pyramimonadaceae.